AGCGAACGUUAGCGGCGGGCCUAACACAUGCAAGUCGAACGCGAAAGGUCUUCGGACUGAGUAGAGUGGCGCACGGGUGAGUAACACGUAGGUAAUCUACCCUUUGGCGGGGGAUAACGUUCCGAAAGGAGCGCUAAUACCGCAUAAGACCACGGAGUCUCCGGACGCUGUGGGAAAAGGUGGCCUCUUCUUGAAAGCUACCACCGAAGGAUGAGCCUGCGUCCCAUCAGCUAGUUGGUAAGGUAAUGGCUUACCGAGGCGAAGACGGGUAGCUGGUUUGAGAGAAUGAUCAGCCACACUGGCACUGGAACACGGGCCAGACUCCUACGGGAGGCAGCAGUGAGGAAUAUUGGGCAAUGGGCGAAAGCCUGACCCAGCCACGCCGCGUGAGUGAUGAAGGCCCUCGGGUCGUAAAGCUCUGUGGAGAGGGACGAAAACCCUGGUUUCAAAUAGGCUCCAGGCUUGACGGUACCUCUUUAGCAAGCACCGGCUAACUCUGUGCCAGCACG
Molecule: ribosomal RNA, 509 nt
Filed under: uncultured bacterium
Lineage: Bacteria
Description: bacterial SSU rRNA
Rfam family: Bacterial small subunit ribosomal RNA
Source: RNAcentral